RNAcentral lists this transfer RNA (81 nucleotides) under Thermoleophilia bacterium. Its description in RNAcentral is "tRNA-OTHER". It matches the Rfam family "tRNA". From Rfam's summary of the family: Transfer RNA (tRNA) molecules are approximately 80 nucleotides in length. Their secondary structure includes four short double-helical elements and three loops (D, anti-codon, and T loops). The record is from RNAcentral. Lineage: Bacteria; Bacillati; Actinomycetota; Thermoleophilia.
CGCGGGGUGGAGCAGUCUGGUAGCUCGUCGGGCUCAUAANNCAUAACCCGAAGGUCGCAGGUUCGAAUCCUGCCCCCGCUA